Molecule: non-coding RNA, 1487 nt
Organism: Petromyzon marinus (sea lamprey)
Lineage: Eukaryota; Metazoa; Chordata; Hyperoartia; Petromyzontiformes; Petromyzontidae
Source: RefSeq, a predicted model, not a curated record
GUGGCCAGGUCGCUUCUGAAAAAGAGCUUAAUAGCUCUCAAUGGGCCUUACCUGGUAAAUAAAAAAUAGUUUACUUUAAUGGUAUACAUACUUGAAUUUUACUGCGGAUGUUUUAAAACAUGUCCUGUCUAACUGUCAACUUUGUUUGAAUUUCAGUGGGAGAAGAUGCUUCUCACACAGACGUUAAAGCAGACGCCGCGCAACUGACGCCGCUCCCAGCGCCGCCGACCUCUGCUUCCCCGGCCACGGCCACGGGGAGUUCCUCUCCUCUGCUGGACACCCCGUGUGCUGGACCUGCUGCUCCACCACACUUGCCUGCCCACUACACAGGCACAAAGAGGUGAUUUUGAAGUGUCGUCGUCACGCGAGGACGUGGACCGAGACAGCGCGUGGAACCAGUGGCUGCGCUCCGAGAUCCCGGGGCUCUUCCUGCUGGCCCUGCACACGUUUACCGUGAGUCGGUGCAGAUGUGGCCUCGCGACUGGGGCUGCCACCUGUCUGUGUUUGACCCCCGGACAGUGUUCGGGUGGCAGCAGGAAUUAAUUUGUGUCGAGAUCUGGUACCCCGGGUAUGGCUAUGGUUGAAUUUUAUCACCGUGAACUGCACAGUUUUAACAAUAGACCUCGGCUCGCUGAGAAAUGUGCCUGGGUUUGCUCUGUCGUAGGAAUGGUGGCAACUGUACUUGGGGCAUCGGCACGUUUAUUCGCGCUCCGGCUCCAUUUACACCGAGAGUCACGUGCUUGUCUCGUGCGGGGAGUGGUGGUGUAGCUGUCAGGGGGCAUCCAUUUAGUAUGUAUGCAUGGAGGGGGGAGGAGGGGUUAACCCAAAUGCGUACGCUUGCGUACUACUGACAAUGUGUAAGCCGACUGCAAUGGCAUGAAUCUGCCCAUCGCAGUGACAUGGGGAAGUAAUUGCUUCCGACAAAGGCGUUCUACGACCUUUUCAAUCGUACUCAGGUUUGAGCACGGGGACAGUUUGCAUUCAUGAUCCUGAAUCAUGACAAUUCCUUGACUCUCCGGCAGUGGUGAAUCGUUCCAUCAGUAGGAAUCGUGUAUAUGUGUGUACGUGUAUGCACAGCUGUACCCAUUGGCUUCUGUUAUGGUCAUGUACGUUUAUUUUUUAUUUCGUGGAAUAUCACUUGCUGUACUCCACGCGGUGAGUGCUUUGUGUAGAUAGGAAUCAUGUUAUGUAGAGAAUAUAAAUCUAAUUCAGUACCUCUAUAUGUCUCCCACAGACGAGCGGGGAGACAGCAGCCAGGCGGUGAGCCGGCACUACCAACAAUCGCCCAAGAUCUGCGGUUCUCUUUACAUUCCGAUAUUUGUAGCCACUUACUGAGUGUUUACAUGUGGGGGGAAACCAGUACACUCGCAGAAAACGAACGAAUGUGAGCAAGGGGGCAACGUUCUAUCCCGUGCAGAUGGAAAGGAUUCCACAGUUGUGUUCCACUGCCUCCUGGCAAGCCAGGGUAUGACUCAUCCUCGAUGCCC